UGCCAGCCGCCGCGGUAAUACGGAGGGUGCGAGCGUUAAUCGGAAUUACUGGGCGUAAAGCGUGCGCAGGUGGUUUUGUAAGUCAGAGGUGAAAGCCCCGGGCUCAACUUGGGAACUGCCUUUGAUACUGUUUAUCUAGAGUCCGAGAGAGGUUAGUGGAAUUCCCAGUGUAGAGGUGAAAUUCGUAGAUAUUUGGAGGAACACCAGUGGCGAAGGCGGCCUACUGGCUCACUACUGACGCUCAGGGACGAAAGCGUGGGGAGCGAACAGGAUUAGAUA
This 279-nucleotide ribosomal RNA is filed under the name uncultured bacterium. RNAcentral's name for it is "partial 16S ribosomal RNA". It matches the Rfam family "Bacterial small subunit ribosomal RNA", at positions 506 to 784 of the family's 1533-position model. The record is from RNAcentral.